This 607-nucleotide ribosomal RNA is filed under the name uncultured archaeon. Its description in RNAcentral is "bacterial SSU rRNA". It matches the Rfam family "Archaeal small subunit ribosomal RNA", at positions 553 to 1160 of the family's 1478-position model. The record is from RNAcentral.
UGUCGCUUACGGCGGGAAUUCUAGGGAUACUGCUAGACUUGAGGUCGAGAGAGGUCGGAGGUACUCCUGGGGUAGCGGUGAAAUGCUAUAAUCCUGGGGGGACCACCAGUGGCGAAAGCGUCCGACCAGAGCGAGCCUGACGGUAAGGGACGAAAGCCAGGGGAGCGAACGGGAUUAGAUACCCCGGUAGUCCUGGCCGUAAACGCUGUGGGCUAGGUGUUGCAUGCUCUACGAGGGCAUGCAGUGCCGAAGAGAAGUUGAUAAGCCUACCGCCUGGGAAGUACUAUCGCAAGAUAGAAACUUAAAGGAAUUGGCGGGGGAGCACCACAAGGGGUGAAGUCUGCGGUUCAAUUGGAUUCAACGCCGGAAAUCUCACUGGAAGCGACGGCAGGAUGAUGGCCAAGCUGAUGACUUUGCUUGACGAGCCGAGAGGAGGUGCAUGGCUGUCGUCAGCUCGUACCGUAAGGCGUCCUGUUAAGUCAGGCAACGAGCGAGACCCGUACCCUUAUUUGUCAUCUGAUCCCUACGGGGAUCAAGACCCAUUAAGGGGACCGCUGCUGAUAAAGCAGAGGAAGGAGCGAGCAACGAUAGGUCAGUAUGCCCCGAA